Molecule: ribosomal RNA, 479 nt
Filed under: uncultured bacterium
Lineage: Bacteria
Description: partial 16S ribosomal RNA
Rfam family: Bacterial small subunit ribosomal RNA
Source: RNAcentral
GAUGAACGCUGGCGGCGUGCUUAGCACAUGCAAGUCGAACGAUUAAGACCCCUUCGGGGGUGUAUAGAGUGGCGAACGGGUGAGUAACACGUGGGCAACCUGCCCCUUCCUCUGGGAUAACACGGAGAAAUCCGUGCUAAUACCGGAUACUCCAUAUCUGCGGCAUCCCGGAGAUGGGAAAGCUCCGACGGGAAGGGAUGGGCCCGCGGUCCAUUAGCGAGUCGGUGGGGUAACGGCCUACCGAGGCGACGAUGGAUAGCCGGGUUGAGAGACCGACCGGCCACAUUGGGACUGAGACACGGCCCAGACUCCUACGGGAGGCAGCAGUGGGGAAUUUUGCGCAAUGGGGGAAACCCUGACGCAGCAACGCCGCGUGCGGGAUGGAGGCCUUCGGGUUGUAAACCGCUUUCAGCAGGGAAGAAUACAGACGGUACCUGCCGAAGAAGCUCCGGCUAACUACGUGCCAGCAGCCGCGGUAA